This 89-nucleotide transfer RNA is filed under the name Synergistaceae bacterium. RNAcentral's name for it is "tRNA-Ser". It matches the Rfam family "tRNA". From Rfam's summary of the family: Transfer RNA (tRNA) molecules are approximately 80 nucleotides in length. Their secondary structure includes four short double-helical elements and three loops (D, anti-codon, and T loops). Lineage: Bacteria; Thermotogati; Synergistota; Synergistia; Synergistales; Synergistaceae. The record is from RNAcentral.
GGAGAGUUGUCCGAGAGGUCUAUGGUGAACGGUUGGAAGCCGUUUGUGGUCACAAGCCACCAGAGGUUCAAAUCCUCUACUCUCCGCCA